AUGUCGUCGGUUAUUGAGUCUGCAUUUUGUCAACACGUUUCUUCAGAAUUACAAAUGGAACUGGCUUGUACACAGGCUGGCGUAAGCUUAUCGGAAGAGUGCAGGGUAACAGGUGCAAACAAAACUUCUCAAUUUCUCAGUAGUAUUUCUCAACCCUUGCACUACAAAGAGCUAUAUGACAAAUCUGUGUUCUUGCAAGAUGAUAGCAGAACGGUUACAAGUUCAAAACAGGUUGCACAUACACGACAGGAGUUAACACUUUCAAUGACAGUUUUUCCCUUUCUUUUGCAUUAUGUUUACCAGCUCCCAAGAUGGUGGAAACAACACGGUUUUAACACCCUGGUGAUGUGUGAGGUGAGCAAGGAGGUGUCUUCUGCCAGCUGCAGCAAUCGGAUCUCUCAGAGCCUGACACCGGCUGCUAUGGGAGUAUACUCUUUGACUCAAGUGGGGCUUGACAACCAAACUCCCCAGGCUCUAAAAUUUCCGUGCGAUUUUUAUCGAGCAGUUUCCCAUCCGCAACAAAGGUUCGUACUCCCCGUACUGGCAGGGACGACUCCUCUGGGGACGCUCAGUAACCCGCGCAGCAAUGGGUUAGCUGGAUAUAAACCAUCGCAAGGCCUAAAGGCUACCAAGGCUUGCACGGGAAGCCCAUACGUUAGCUCGCUGUCGAUCCGCCACUUAGCCCUAACGCCAGGCGAUACGGCUGGGCACGAUGCGGAUUUAACAAGCUGGGGAGAGACGGUGGCGGGAAGAUCCGGGGCAGGUGGGACGGGACACCGCACCCCGCGCGAAGCAAUUCCGCUGGCGGAGCCCCCCUGCCCGCCCCGAGCGCCUCGCCCCGGCCCGCCAAGGCGAAGGGCUGCGGGGAGGCCUCACGGGCAGGGCAGAUGUCACAGGCCUAGGCCGUGGGGCUGCGCUUCCCGACGCCAGUCGCCUGCACCGGGGCCUCCUGCCGCCCCUGCACACCCCUGCCCGCCCCGGCCGGCGCCUCGCGGCCUUGCCGCCCCCAACGGCCCCGGGCCCUCCGCGCCCGGUCCUGGCGUCCCAGGCGCCGCUGGGACCCCGCGGCCGGGGCCGGGGCCGGGGCCGGGGCCGGGGCCGAGGCGACCCGACGGCGGGGCCGGGCGGGCCCCGCCCCCCGUUGCCAGGCAACCGCCUCCUCGCCUCGCCGGGGACCGGCAGCCGUCCUACUCUCACCCGCGGUCGGCAGCGCGCUCCCAUUGGCUGCCCCGGCGCUGCGCUCGGCUCCCAUUGAGCGCCCGCCGCCUCUGCCGCGUCCUCAUUGGCGCGCCGCCCUCUGGCCACGCCGCGUCACUUUCUCACACCAUUCCCCCCGCCUUCUCCGCCAGCCGCGGGCCGGCCGGCGGGCGGGGCCCGGCCCCCGGCAGCUCUGAUUGGCGGGGAGAGCCGCCGCUCAGGGCGCGGGCCGGAGCCCCGGCGGCGGGGCUGUUUAAAGGCGCCGCGCGCCGGCGACCCGCGUUUCGCCCCCCCGCCCUGUGCGUGCGAACCGGCGAGGGCGCGGAGUCAGCGACCGGCACCGGGAGCCAUCGCCUCCGGCAGGUGAGGGCGGCUCGGCGCCGGGGGGGCGGCCCCUGCCUCUCCUCCCCGCAAGCCGCCGGCGGGGCUUGGGGAUGGGCCGGCGGGGCCGGGAGCGGUGUUUGCAGCGGACGCACGGGCGUUGGAAGUAGCGCCUGCAGUGCGGCAAGGGGCGGGGGGCGGAGAAGGUAA
This is a long non-coding RNA of Accipiter nisus (Eurasian sparrowhawk), 1728 nucleotides long. NCBI's taxonomy places the organism in Eukaryota, Metazoa, Chordata, Aves, Accipitriformes, Accipitridae. The record is from Ensembl.